This 86-nucleotide transfer RNA is filed under the name Candidatus Bathyarchaeota archaeon. RNAcentral's name for it is "tRNA-Leu". It matches the Rfam family "tRNA". Rfam says of the family: Transfer RNA (tRNA) molecules are approximately 80 nucleotides in length. Lineage: Archaea; Thermoproteati; Candidatus Bathyarchaeota. The record is from RNAcentral. RNAcentral also lists the same sequence under 1 other name.
GCGGCGGUGGCCGAGCGGUCAAAGGCGGGGGACUCAAGAUCCUCUCCCGUAGGGGUUCGCAGGUUCAAAUCCUGCCCGCCGCACCA